Molecule: non-coding RNA, 3393 nt
Organism: Phoenix dactylifera (date palm)
Lineage: Eukaryota; Viridiplantae; Streptophyta; Magnoliopsida; Arecales; Arecaceae
Source: RefSeq, a predicted model, not a curated record
GAUCAGGAUGCACUUGCCUCCCCUGUUCGGGCUCUCUCAUGUCAUUGGAGUGCACACCGUAAAUGCUACAGUAACUGUGGCCAGCGAGUAUUUGUUUUCUUUAUGAUUAGGUAGAUCCCAAAUUGGACUCAAACAAGGGAAGGCUGUGGCUGGUUAAUAAUCAGUAGAAAAGGGUUAUUUCUGGCUCUAGGGUUGGCUUUUGUUAUCAUUUUGAGAAGAAAGAAAACUAAAGCCUGCUAUAAAUUAUCUGGUGCCUUGCAUCCCACAAGUGAAGAGGGAAAGCUUGAAAUGUGACCUAAACCUCUAUGCUUGGUCGGUGGAAAGCAACGGAUAUGCUUUAUUUUUUGAGGCCAGACUUAUUGCAUGCAAUGUGGGUUUCAUAACCAGAUUCCAAGUGCAGUGAUAUGGAAUUAAUAGUGUGACAUGUUUACAGUGGAGGAGGUGUUAUUAUAUUGAGUGGUAAGAAGCAGAGAUAUAAACUGCAUCGUCUACAGUGAAUCAGCACAUAGAGCAUUCUGUGCUGCUGCUCGAGAGGCCAUCUGGAAAAAUGCUUCAAUGGAUCGAAAUUGGUUGCAUCUGAUGUACUUCGAUGUUAUACUUGUCAGAACCAAGCUGCCAUUGCUAAUGUGAAGCUGGGGAGGGUUUUAGGUUUCAAUCUACCUUUCUAGGAAGUGCUGCUAUGGCUUGUAUUCUACCUCCAUCAGCAUUACAAUUAUCUGUGGUAUUACAGUGCAAGAUGUUCUUAGAGAAAAUUCUUUUGACACUACUGAAGAAAGCCUUGUUCAGGUCAAAUGUGACCCAAAAUCUAUCCAGGGUUAUGCUGAGGUGCACAUUGAACAAGGACCUGCAAUGGAAACACUAGGUUGUCCCCUUAGUGUUGUGAAAGGAAUUGCCGGACAGACAAGAUGGAAGGUUUGCAAGCUUGUCAUAUUCUAUCAUGUCAGAAUGCUAUACAGAAUAUGACCUCUCUAUAGAAAAAGGGCCAGGAGAAACAAAACAUUUUGCUAUAGCAAGUAGCAAGGAAUUUCUAGAGCAUUUAAAACAUUACAUUGGAUAUAAAUGUGUUAAAUGCAAAGCUAGAACAUCCUAAAAAUAUGAAACCAAUAAUUAGAUCAUUUUUUAAACAAUUGUUGUCUCUAUCGUGGGAAUCAGUGCAUUUGGAAUUGCUUUCAUGAGUGAUUAUUAUCAUACUGUAGUGAUUGUUUCUUGAUAAAUAUGCAGCCUUCAUGAGUAUCUGCAACUAGUUUUGUUAAAGCAUAUACCAUGAUUGUUAGGAACUGGUAUCAAUUGCUAGCAGCUAUACUGGUAUAUCGGGGUAGACUUUCGGAUAUUCGAAAAUUGGAAUAAUUAUUAUUCUAGUUAAGCUUAUGGUGUGCUCACUGUGCAACAAUGGUGAUAUUUUUUGAAAAAUAGACGACAAGCAAGCUGCACAGUUCUCAACAUUUGCACCAUUCUUGAUUUGGAGUUGAUUAUCAUGGAAUAUUGUGGACAAGAGUUUGGAAAAGCAAGAACAGUGAUUGCCUUUUGUUCCAAAAUUCCCAAGAAAAUCAAAGUCAUCUGGAAGAUCAUAUUAUUCCUAUUAAUGAUGGUGGUUUCUGAAAUUUCAUAGCUAAGUGGAAGAAUCAUUCACUUAACUAUAGGACAUGGAUUUUGGAUAAGGAAUUUCAGCGUAUAAAUUCAGGCCUUAAAAGUUUCUUCACUUGCUGAAGAAAAGCUUCCCCAACCUGGAGAAGGCAAGUAACUUGAUAUUUCAGUUUUCAGGAUUUCUGCUGUCCGGAUACAACAAUCCUGGAGAAUUAAACAUGAAAUUAUACUCAUAGGACCUCAAAAUAAACGUGCUCUGCUUACAUAAGCCAAGACUAUCAGCAUUCAGCAUGUAUUUUUAGGGUCUUUGUCAAAAGACACUUGAUUGCAAGUUAUGAAACUGAUACUGAAUUUUAUGAAUUGACUGCCUCACGAGAUAUAUUAUCUGCAAAUGAUUAUAGUAAUUUGUCCCGCUGGUUUGCUAUUGAACUCUAAACCAAUAACUGAUUUUAUGCUUUAAAAAUGAAUGCCAGAUAAGACUCUAAUCACUUUCCUGGAAAUGGCAUUAAAUGGUCAAUGAUGCUUAUUACAGCAGCAUGUAUUUUUGUUUCCUGCAAGAAAAUAUUUGAGUUUCACUGGGUAGUUCUUUAAGAAAUCUAUUAGUUUAGAUAUUUAUCAGUAUGCCUUCAAGAAGCCACUGAGUUUGCCUGCAAGGCUGCAGUCGCUUUCUAGGUUGAAGUAAGUGUUUCCGAAGGCAUGCCAGCACAGUUUCAAUGUUAAUGUGCCAAGAUCCAAUGGCUGCUUCUGCUGAACUUAUGGUAACUUUGGAGUCUUUUUUGUAAAUAUUCUGAUCAUGAUACACCGUACUGGCCCGAACCGGAUGGUACGGAGCAUACUGUACCAUACCAGUUCGGUACCGGUAUCCGGUAUGGGUGGCGUACCAAUAUUCGGUACGCCAAAAAAAUUCUGUAUCGUAUUGACACUAUGCUAGUAUGGCAUCGAUACAUGAUCUAGUACCGAGAUAGCGAACCUUGAUUAUGACAGUGUAGAUUUUUCAGAAAGGAUUCUCUUGCUGGAUUGAUCUACACAAUUGGAGAGAUAUCCUGUUAGCCAAGUGCAAGCAAUGUCAUUCCGGGCUAGAUAUUAUUUCACCAUGCACCUAUUUCGUAUGGAAGAAAAAUAAUCCCUGAAUGUGACCAUGUUAUUGGGUUACUUCCUUACAUAUGUUUAUAUAUUUAUUUUUUUUCAGAAAAAAAACUAUUUGCAGAUAAAUGUUAUUGUGGAUGGAAGAGCAAUGGAUGUCGAGGCAAAAGAAGUGGAAGUAUCUGAAUUUUCUAGCCAAGUUUAUCAAAUAUGGGAGCAGCAGAUGGUUAAUUGUACCAUUGAGCAUUAGAUGUGGGACUAUAGUCUUGUAUUCAAACUUAUGUGCUGAUACCUUUACUGCAUUAACUACUACAUGACACAUAAAUCAUUUCAGCAGAAUGCGGAGGCGGCUCACUGCGACUUGGAAUUAAGUCUGCAGCUUAAACAUGAAGCUUGUUCGGCUCUGAGGAAGAUGUCAGGCGACAUUGCCUAAUGAAUGAAGCAGGACAUGAUGCUAUGGUGAUGUCUCAUUUAACUAAGGUCAGAUACCUCAUGCACUAUAAUUAAGAAAAUUAGUGCUGUUUUUCCCCAUUUUUGACUGGCAGUUGGUAUAGAAGCAUGUCGGCAUGUUGUUUGUACGCUGUCGGGGAGGUAUUAGCCAUUCUCCUAAGAAAUCUGGAUUUGAUGAUAAUGUUUGGGCUGCUGGUCUCGCACUCUGUCUUCGGAUCAACAUGUAAAUCAGUAACAUGUCUGAAAUUAUAUGUUAGCUGGCUUUUUUAUAGUGUU